AUGCCGGGUGUUCCCAGGGGACUAGCUGAGCAUCGUUUGCGAGUCGACCCAAAAGUGAAACCAGUCAAAGAACAUCUUCGACGGUCCGCCAUACAGAAGAGAAAAGCAAUCGGUGAAGAGGUGGCUCGGCUUUUGGCAGCUGACUUUAUCCGAGAGAUUUACCACUCCGAGUGGUUAACCAAUGUUGUCAUGGUCCCAAAGAAGGACGGCUCACUUCGCAUGUGCAUUGAUUUCAAGCAUAUCAAUCGGGCCUGCCCGAAAGAUCACUUUCCUCUCCCUCGCAUCGACCAGAUAGUCGACUCGACUGCAGGGUGCGAGCGUUUGUCCUUUUUGGACGCCUACUCCGGGUACCACCAGAUCCGUCUGUACGGACCCGACGAGAUAAAGACAACUUUUAUCACCCCGUUUGGGUGCUUCUGUUAUGUCACAAUGCCAUUCGGUUUGAAGAACGCUGGAGCCACAUUCAUGCGGAUGAUUCAGAAGUGCCUGCUCACUCAGAUCAGUCGGAAUGUGGAAGCAUACAUGGAUGACAUUGUGGUCAAGUCACGUAAAGGUUCCGACCUACUGACUAUCCUUGCUGAAACCUUUGCCAGCCUCAGAAGGUAUGAUACCAAGUUCAAUCCAUCAAAGUGCACGUUUGGAGUUCCGGGCGGAAAAUUACUCGGUUUCCUCGUUUCCGAACGAGGGAUCGACGCUAACCCAAAGAAAGUGGGUGCUAUACUCCGAAUGAAACGCCCUAUGCGUGUGCAUGAUGUCUAG
RNAcentral lists this ribosomal RNA (759 nucleotides) under Triticum aestivum (bread wheat). RNAcentral's name for it is "partial small subunit ribosomal RNA". The record is from RNAcentral. Lineage: Eukaryota; Viridiplantae; Streptophyta; Magnoliopsida; Poales; Poaceae.